RNAcentral lists this ribosomal RNA (207 nucleotides) under uncultured bacterium. RNAcentral's name for it is "partial 16S ribosomal RNA". It matches the Rfam family "Bacterial small subunit ribosomal RNA", at positions 568 to 774 of the family's 1533-position model. The record is from RNAcentral.
UGCGUAGGCGGCUUCGUGUGUCGGAUGUGAAAUCCCAUGGCUCAACUGUGGAACUGCAUUCGAAACUGCGGAGCUCGAGUCCAGGAUGGGAGAGCGGAAUUCUUGGUGUAGCGGUGAAAUGCGUUGAUAUCAAGAAGAACACCGGUGGCGAAGGCGGCUCUCUGGAAUGUGACUGACGCUGAGGCACGAAAGCUAGGGGAGCAAACA